UACGUAGGGUGCGAGCGUUGUCCGGAAUUACUGGGCGUAAAGAGCUCGUAGGUGGUUUGUCGCGUUGUUCGUGAAAACUCACAGCUCAACUGUGGGCGUGCGGGCGAUACGGGCAGACUGGAGUACUGCAGGGGAGACUGGAAUUCCUGGUGUAGCGGUGGAAAUGCGCAGAUAUCAGGAAGAACACCCGUGGCUAAGGCGGCUCUCUAGUACGGUACUGACGCUGAGACGCGAAAGCGUGGGGAGCGAACAGG
RNAcentral lists this ribosomal RNA (254 nucleotides) under uncultured bacterium. RNAcentral describes it as "partial 16S ribosomal RNA". It matches the Rfam family "Bacterial small subunit ribosomal RNA", at positions 524 to 776 of the family's 1533-position model. The record is from RNAcentral.